This 2166-nucleotide ribosomal RNA is filed under the name Triticum aestivum (bread wheat). Its description in RNAcentral is "partial small subunit ribosomal RNA". The record is from RNAcentral. Lineage: Eukaryota; Viridiplantae; Streptophyta; Magnoliopsida; Poales; Poaceae.
UACGGUGGAAAGCGCGUGCUGUGCCUUCCGGACGGCAAGUACUUCGUACCAACACAGAAGGCACGCGUGGCGGCCUACUUGCUGUACGACCCUGUGCGAUAGGGACUAAAUACGGCGAAGUCGAACCUACUCAGAGGUAGAUUUACACAAUACAUAUGCACGUUGAACACACCAAGAACGUGCCCGAGGUUGUGCGAGAAACUCUUUUUUUUUCCACCGUGUCGAAACCUAUAUGCACUGCACCGCCGUAGUAUGUCAUCGUAGCAAGCGAUAUCAAAUCAUCAUCUUAACUCUAAAUUACGUGAAAGAAGGGGCAGAAGGUGAGAAGAAGGAGGAGAGAAGAAGAAGGAGGAGAGAAGGGGUAGCAGCCGGCGUGUGGUAAAGGGAGGCGAGUGACGAGCGGGCGGGCGCGAUAGAAGGAACCAUCGAGCGUCCAUGGUAUAGGGGGGCGAGUGACGAGCCGGUGUGCUCCUCUUCGAAGAAGUGAGCGGGCGGGCUUAGGUGAAGGGGCGACCGAGCGUCCUGGACCUUAGUAUGGUCGGCUACCCACCACCAAAUAGCGAACAAGUCGACUGCCACAUGGUAUAUUGACCUUAAUUGGGUACGUUCAACUUCUUCCUAACCGGCCACGACGGCCGACCGCAGUUCAAGCUAGGGUGCCUAGUCCUCGGCUAGCUCGUGGAACUCCGGUUUCACUCACGACUGUCGCGCUCUAGAGUGGAAGAGUAGCUAAACAAGUAUGGUUGGUAGCUGUCGCUCGUGCUGUAUACGAUGUGGGUAGGACUCUUUAAAGGUCCAUAGUGUGACUCACUGGAUUCGUUCGUAAAGAAGGUCGCGUUAAGGUCCCGCAAGUUUUCCCCGUGCACCUGUGCAGCGUUCUAUGUCAGUCUCACGCCGUACGUGCGCUACACCGUGUUGUGGCCGUUAUGGAACGGCCACUACCAGUUGCCGGCCGUCUGCCCGUCGUUUUUCCAAGACCACGACGUGUGGUUGUUCUUGAAGCUGGUCGUCUCCUGGUUGACCCACUACGUGGUCAUGGUGGAGCCCCUGGACCUCGUUCUCUUCCUCGCCCUCGACCAGGAGACGUUCUAAAAGAUGGUCUGCUUGUGAUCCCGGCCCUCAUUUUUCUAAUAUUCAGCUCGUUCAAAGUUGACCCGACAUCUGACGGCUCCGAACCAAAACAAAAAUUGUGCGGGUCGGGUACUGCUGUUGCCCCGUGUUUCUAGGUCGUUGCGCAAAAGUGGCGCGGCGCUGGGUCAGUCGGUGCAUUAGCCCGGCGACGAGGCGUCUGGCUCACUCCCUAGUAGAGCAAGGAGCCCGGCUAGUCUCCGGCUUUCGGGUGCAAUACGUUGUUCCAAAACCUGCCUAGACUACUAGCUCUCCAACUACCUAGUUCGUACGGACUAUUCCGACUCACGUGGUAAUCUUUUCCGUUCCCCGCGUGCGUAGCGUAGCGUAGCGUAGCGGCGGCAAACGCGCCUCGCCUACGCGAGCACGGGCACGGGACCGGGCGUGCGGUCACCGAGGCUCGUGAGUGGGAGCGUCGAAUUAUUAGCAGAAGUUAAUUGCCACCCGGGGUCGGCCGGAGGUGGCUCGGGCGGGCCCUAGCGCCGGCGCACACGGCGUUGCACGGCUCGCGGCGUACGUGGUCUGCAAAGGAGGGUGGGUGUGUGGGUGUGUGCGUGUGGGUAAGCUAGAGAGGCGGGGAGCUUUAGGGGAGGGCCGGCGCAAGGUACCGGCGCGCGGGGCGGAGGAGGCGGGUCCGUGAGACCACUGGCUGCGGCGUGCCUGGCGCUGGCGCUGGCGCUGUGGGCGGCGGCCGGAGAGACCAAGCAGCGGAGAGGGUGGGGGAGGGAGAGAGAGAGAGAGGAGCGGCAAAGCCCAGCGGGGUGCGCGCGCGUCAGCGACGGGCAGGGGCGGCUAGGAAGCCAAAGGGCAGCACACGGGCCCAAGCCGCCGCCGGGCCCGACACCAACCAUGCAGGCACGGGGCGGGCCGGCCUCCAAAGCUCAAGCGCCUCGCCCGCAGCCAAGAGGCCCGGCACCCACACCACGGCGGCAGCCACCCAAGCACGUCCGAAGAGACGCGGCCUACGAAUGGGUCUAGGCGGAGGGCGCUGCGUAGGGCACCGAGCCCGAGUAGCGCACCACAGCAAACCUGCGGACU